UACGUAGGGUGCGAGCGUUGUCCGGAAUUAUUGGGCGUAAAGGGCUCGUAGGCGGUUUGUCGCGUCUGCUGUGAAAACUGGAGGCUCAACCUCCAGCCUGCAGUGGGUACGGGCAGACUAGAGUGCGGUAGGGGAGAUUGGAAUUCCUGGUGUAGCGGUGAAAUGCGCAGAUAUCAGGAGGAACACCGGUGGCGAAGGCGGGUCUCUGGGCCGAUACUGACGCUGAGGAGCGAAAGCGUGGGGAGCGAACAGG
Molecule: ribosomal RNA, 253 nt
Filed under: uncultured bacterium
Lineage: Bacteria
Description: partial 16S ribosomal RNA
Rfam family: Bacterial small subunit ribosomal RNA
Source: RNAcentral